RNAcentral lists this ribosomal RNA (253 nucleotides) under uncultured bacterium. RNAcentral describes it as "partial 16S ribosomal RNA". It matches the Rfam family "Bacterial small subunit ribosomal RNA", at positions 524 to 776 of the family's 1533-position model. The record is from RNAcentral.
CACGAACCGUACGAACGUUAUUCGGAAUUACUGGGCUUAAAGGGUUUGUAGGCGGCCAUGUAAGUGGGGUGUGAAAUCCCUCGGCUCAACCGAGGAACAGCGCUCCAAACUGUAUGGCUUGAGGGAGACAGGGGUAAGCGGAACUGAUGGUGGAGCGGUGAAAUGCGUUGAUAUCAUCAGGAACACCGGUGGCGAAGGCGGCCCACUGGUCCGGUACUGACGCUGAGGUGCGAAAGCGUGGGGAGCAAACAGG